AACGAACGCUGGCGGCGUGCCUAACACAUGCAAGUCGUGCGAGAAAGUUCCUUCGGGAGCGAGUAAAGCGGCGCACGGGUGAGUAACACGUAGGUAACCUGCCCCCAAGUCUGGAACAACUGGAGGAAACUCCAGCUAAUGCCGGAUGAGACCACGAUCCCCUCGGGGGUUGUGGCCAAAGAUGGCCUCUGCUUGCAAGCUAUCGCUCGGGGAUGGGCCUGCGGGCCAUUAGCUAGUUGGUGAGGUAACGGCUCACCAAGGCAGUGAUGGCUAGCUGGUCUGAGAGGAUGACCAGCCACACUGGGACUGAGACACGGCCCAGACUCCUACGGGAGGCAGCAGUGGGGAAUAUUGCGCAAUGGGCGAAAGCCUGACGCAGCGACGCCGCGUGGGUGAUGAAGGCCUUGGUCGUAAAGCCUGUCGCAGGGAAGGAAGUAAAGACGGUGGGAGUAA
RNAcentral lists this ribosomal RNA (453 nucleotides) under uncultured bacterium. RNAcentral's name for it is "bacterial SSU rRNA". It matches the Rfam family "Bacterial small subunit ribosomal RNA", at positions 29 to 464 of the family's 1533-position model. The record is from RNAcentral.